AGAGUUUGAUCCUGGCUCAGAUUGAACGCUGGCGGCAGGCCUAACACAUGCAAGUCGAGCGGAUGAAGGGAGCUUGCUCCUGGAUUCAGCGGCGGACGGGUGAGUAAUGCCUAGGAAUCUGCCUGGUAGUGGGGGAUAACGUCCGGAAACGGGCGCUAAUACCGCAUACGUCCUGAGGGAGAAAGUGGGGGAUCUUCGGACCUCACGCUAUCAGAUGAGCCUAGGUCGGAUUAGCUAGUUGGUGGGGUAAAGGCCUACCAAGGCGACGAUCCGUAACUGGUCUGAGAGGAUGAUCAGUCACACUGGAACUGAGACACGGUCCAGACUCCUACGGGAGGCAGCAGUGGGGAAUAUUGGACAAUGGGCGAAAGCCUGAUCCAGCCAUGCCGCGUGUGUGAAGAAGGUCUUCGGAUUGUGAAGCACUUUAAGUUGGGAGGAAGGGCAGUAAGUUAAUACCUUGCUGUUUUGACGUUACCAACAGAAUAAGCACCGGCUAACUUCGUGCCAGCAGCCGCGGUAAUACGAAGGGUGCAAGCGUUAAUCGGAAUUACUGGGCGUAAAGCGCGCGUAGGUGGUUCAGCAAGUUGGAUGUGAAAUCCCCGGGCUCAACCUGGGAACUGCAUCCAAAACUACUGAGCUAGAGUACGGUAGAGGGUGGUGGAAUUUCCUGUGUAGCGGUGAAAUGCGUAGAUAUAGGAAGGAACACCAGUGGCGAAGGCGACCACCUGGACUGAUACUGACACUGAGGUGCGAAAGCGUGGGGAGCAAANNGGANUAGAUACCCCGGUA
RNAcentral lists this ribosomal RNA (789 nucleotides) under uncultured bacterium. RNAcentral's name for it is "bacterial SSU rRNA". It matches the Rfam family "Bacterial small subunit ribosomal RNA", at positions 8 to 792 of the family's 1533-position model. The record is from RNAcentral.